This 751-nucleotide long non-coding RNA is filed under the name Cyanistes caeruleus (blue tit). Its description in RNAcentral is "lncRNA (ENSCCEG00000004745.1)". Lineage: Eukaryota; Metazoa; Chordata; Aves; Passeriformes; Paridae. The record is from RNAcentral.
UUUAUUUUUUUAUUAUUAUUAUUAUUAUUAUUAUUUUUUUCCCGCUUUUUCACGUUUUUUUUUCUUUUUUUUUAUCAUUUUUCCGGCAUUCCAGGUAAUAAUUUUAAUUUUAAUAAUCAUUUUUAUUCCUUCUUAAAAGGGAAAAUUCCUCGCUCCGACCGCGCCCCGAGGGAUCCCAAAAAUCCCGGAGCUGUCGGAAUUUGGAGAUUUGGGAUUUUCCCCGCCCGAAAAAAUUCCCAAAAUCUUCGGGAUCAGCUCGGAAUUCCGGGAGGAGAUGCAGGAAAGCUACGAGAGCGUCAUUUCCUUGGGUAAGAGCCCGAAUUCCCUCGGAUUUCCCCUCAAAUUCGGGAUCGAAUCCCUUUCGUUUUCGGAUUUUGGGAAAUUUUUCCGGUAUUUUUCCUGGAUUUCAAGAAAUUUUCCAGGUUUUUCUCGUAUUUUGGGAAAGUUUCCGUGAUUUUUUUCCCUGGAUUUCAGGGAAAUUUUCCAGGAUUUUCCCCCAGAUUUCGGAAAAAUUUUCCGGGAUUUUUUCCCUGGAUUUUGGGAAUUUUUCUGGGAUUUUUCCCCGAUUUUGGGAAAAUUUUCCAGGAUUUUUCCUGGAUUUCGUGGAAUUUUUCCGUGAUUUUUUCCCAAAUUUUUUUUUCCUGGAUUUCGUGGAAUUUUUCCGUGAUUUUUUCCCAAAUUUUUUCCUGGGAUUUUGGGGAAAAUUUCCAGGAUUUUUUCCCGGGAUUUCGGGGAAUUUUUCCAGGAUUUU